CAAAAAUCAGUCUAGUGUGUGUUGAGGCGCUUAUCAAGCUCAAAUACAUUCACAUGCUUUCACACACUCAUAUUCUCACACAAAGGCCCUUUGUAAUUGUAACAUCUAUAGAAACUCCUCAGACUCCCGUCUCCCAGGAAAUAGAAACUUAGUUGAUAAAAUGACGUAAGACAUCAGAUGACCACCAGGUGCAUCCGUAGUAUAGUAAACGAGUCUUCCCGUUUUGGAUGAGAUGCUGUAUAGACUCGGUCACAUCCACACCUAGUCUGUAAGGAAUGAAGUCCAAUCCUUUCUGGGUGUGCCUUGGUGUGAGACUGUGGGCGCCUUCCACGAUUGUUGGACCGAGUUACAGCCGAAAUCCCACACUGAAGCCUUCCAGGCACUGUCGGGGUUUCCCAGCGACCGCGCCGGCUCUACAUCUGGACACACGCAGAAACUGAUUUGACGUUGAUAGGUCUCGCUAUAGAGAGGCUGCAGUGAUUUGAUUUCAUUACAAUGAUUAAAGUUUGAUCAGAAAACAUUUUUACUUACUUUUAAUCCUAGUUUAAUCAUGCCAGUGUAUUUUGAGUGUACUGCCUUCAAUCCUGAUUUACUUUAUUGAUUUGAUGUUUUACGAAGGUGUUCAUUGUUCUGUGCCUUUCAAUACUCAGAAUUCUAAGCUUUUCUUACCAUUUCAUUCCGUUUAACUUUACAUCCUUUUCGUAGUUCAUUAACUUUUACAUAUUACAUAGACAUCUCACCGUUUAGUCUUCUAACAAUGUGUUCAUUUUUGCAUACUACCUAACAUUUCACUGAUUUUACAAAUAAUUUCAACCUAACACUUCACUAUUGCAUUUUUAUUAAGUUCCACACAUUAUCCUAACAUUUUGUUCACUUAGCACUUAUGUAGAACUUAACAACUUAGUAACUGUGACUUUUCACCUUGUUUUUAAAUACUAACAAUAAACAAAACAAAAAAAAUAUACAAAACCUAACACAAAAUUUUAGACUUUGCUCUUUUGAGUUCAUUACCCUCCUGUGGCAUGGCGUUGAACUGAGGUCACUACAGAAUGAAUAUAAUGAAAAAUCAGACAUAUGAAGUAAUAAUGACAACAAAAUGAUUAAGACAAAACUCACAAGACUACGGAUAACAUUUUAUUGAAAAUAAAUAUAAUAAAUA
This is a long non-coding RNA of Xiphophorus hellerii (green swordtail), 1159 nucleotides long. RefSeq lists it as uncharacterized. The transcript is spliced from 2 exons. NCBI's taxonomy places the organism in Eukaryota, Metazoa, Chordata, Actinopteri, Cyprinodontiformes, Poeciliidae. The record is from RefSeq and is a predicted model, not a curated record.